AUUGAACGCUAGCGGGAUGCCUUACACAUGCAAGUCGAACGGCAGCGCGGACUUCGGUCUGGCGGCGAGUGGCGAACGGGUGAGUAAUGUAUCGGAACGUGCCCAGUAGCGGGGGAUAACUACUCGAAAGAGUAGCUAAUACCGCAUACGCCCUACGGGGGAAAGGGGGGGAUCGCAAGACCUCUCACUAUUGGAGCGGCCGAUAUCGGAUUAGCUGGUUGGUGAGGUAAAGGCUCACCAAGGCGACGAUCCGUAGCUGGUUUGAGAGGACGACCAGCCACACUGGGACUGAGACACAGCCCAGACUCCUACGGGAGGCAGCAGUGGGGAAUUUUGGACAAUGGGGGAAACCCUGAUCCAGCCAUUCCGCGUGUGCGAUGAAGGCCUUCGGGUUGUAAAGCACUUUUGGCAGGAAAGAAAUCGCAUCAAUUAAUACUUGGUGUGGAUGACGGUACCUGCAGAAUAAGCACCGGCUAACUACGUGCCAGCAGCCGCCGUAA
RNAcentral lists this ribosomal RNA (500 nucleotides) under uncultured bacterium. RNAcentral's name for it is "partial 16S ribosomal RNA". It matches the Rfam family "Bacterial small subunit ribosomal RNA", at positions 30 to 523 of the family's 1533-position model. The record is from RNAcentral.